GCAAUACUUAGUGGCAGACGGGUGAGUAACAUGUAGGUAUCUGCCCUUUGGCCUGGAAUAACACGAGGAAACUUGUGCUAAUACCGGAUAAGUCUUUACGGAGAAAGCUUUAUGCACCAUUGGAUGAGCCUGCACUUGAUUAGUUUGUUGGUGGGGUAAUGGCCUACCAAGACUGUGAUCAAUAGCUGAUUUGAGAGGAUGAUCAGCCACAUUGGGACUGAGACACGGCCCAAACUCCUACGGGAGGCAGCAGUGGGGAAUCUUGCACAAUGGAGGAAACUCUGAUGCAGCGAUGCCGCGUGAGUGAAGAAGGCCCUUGGGUUGUAAAGCUCUUUCGUCGGGGAAGAAAAUGACUGUACCCGAAUAAGAAGGUCCGGCUAACUUCGUGCCAGCAGCCGCGGUAAUACGAAGGGACCUAGCGUAGUUCGGAAUUACUGGGCUUAAAGAGUUCGUAGGUGGUUGAAAAAGUUAGUGGUGAAAUCCCAGAGCUUAACUCUGGAACUGCCAUUAAAACUUUUCAGCUAGAGUAUGAUAGAGGAAAGCAGAAUUUCUAGUGUAGAGGUGAAAUUCGUAGAUAUUAGAAAGAAUACCAAUUGCGAAGGCAGCUUUCUGGAUCAUUACUGACACUGAGGAACGAAAGCAUGGGUAGCGAAGAGGAUUAGAUACCCUCGUAGUCCAUGCCGUAAACGAUGUGUGUUAGACGUUGGAAAUUUAUUUUCAGUGUCGCAGGGAAACCGAUAAACACACCGCCUGGGGAGUACGACCGCAAGGUUAAAACUCAAAUGAAUUGACGGGACCCGCACAAGUAGUGGAGCAUGUGGUUUAAUUCGAAGAUACGCGCAGAACCUUACCAACACUUGACAUGUUCGUCGCGACUCUAAGAGAUUAGAGUUUUCGGUUCGGCCGGAC
This 909-nucleotide ribosomal RNA is filed under the name bacterium HTCC7214. RNAcentral describes it as "bacterial SSU rRNA". It matches the Rfam family "Bacterial small subunit ribosomal RNA", at positions 85 to 1028 of the family's 1533-position model. The record is from RNAcentral.